CAGGAUUAUCCAACACUAUAAAUAGUGGCGGAAUUCUCGCUAUUCACGCUCCAGCUCCGUCGCCGUCGUCCGCUCGCAUUCAACAACCACCGCCGUCGCCACCAGCCGGAAGACAGGUCAAGAUCCGAGCAGACUUGCUCUGCGGCCGCCUUCCUCAGCGAGAGGUGGCAGCAACUCCAGCAGCAAUCGAUACAGUCCUUACAGCAGCUCAAGUAGCAUUUUCAACAGAAUUGGUUCACACUAUCCCGAUCCACACAAAACAAGAGAUCCUGCUCCCUCUCAUAGCACAACCUCAUCUUCCACCUCUCUUUACGACAACAAGAUGCCCCAUAUGCCUUAGCUAUUGGUGCAAAGUACUUGAGGUGGCAGAUAAUUUGCUUCAUGAUACUUCCAGCAACAUAGAAACUUAAGUAUUCUGUUCUCAAACUCUCAGAAACAAGGUAAUUAGUUCAUUAUUUUUCUUGUUACAAUCAAGAUUCUAUUUAGUAUUUACUCAUUAUUAAUUAGUUUUUUAUAAACCCGCUGAUGGUAUGCCAAGAGAAUUAUAAGUGUUCUCGUGUGGAAGCAGGUGCAACGUGAUUCUUCCGCAUAGUAAUCCGUGUGAAAUUUUCUCCCUUUCCCUGAACUUGUGUGGUUGUAGCUAAGAGUUUUAGGGGGUAUCAUACAGUUUUUUAUGCAGUCUUUCAUUAAUUGAUUUUGUUAUAUAAAUAUUAUGUCUGAGAUGCUACAUCUUUUAUUGGAACAAUCUUUAUCAAAGCCAUGAUAUUUCCAAGUGUUUUCAUUUUGCAUCUACUUAUGUAGACAUUACUGAAAUCAUUUCACAAGGGACCUCCUAAAGUUAGGACUUUUUAUGGAUUAUGUAAUGUGUUUGAGUAUUAAAUACUUAGUUUACUGUGCUAAUUCUAAGAUAUUCUAGUUUGGCCUAGUCUAAUUCUGGUGUAAUAAAGAAAUAGGUUUCCGUAGGUAUUAUUCUCAUAAAUAAGAUAAUCUGUAGGAUCUCCGUUGCUGUAGCUGUCACAAAGCCACCAACUGGAUGGCAGGAUUCAAGUAUUAUUAAUCACAAAUUUCAGCACCAAUUUGAAUAUUUCUAUUUUUAUAUAUCAAAUAUGUGUCGUAAUCACAGCCAGGGGAUGCCAAAUAAUUGCAACAAAAUCUCAACGAAGAGCGUGAGCUUAGAAUGAAGUUGGAAGAGGACGUGAACAGGAUGCAGAAUGUGGCGGAGGAGGUGGCUCAAAGAUGAACAAGAUGAUCCAAGAUUUGGAAAGGAAAGAGACAAGUUCAUUAGAGCAACCACUAAGCGUCCCGCGCGCGGCUUGCGUUCCGUCUCGGAGGGACGGUUCCGCCACGGGACGCGUUGCAACGUUCGUCCUGUCCCGUAGCCAGUCUCCAGCCCGUAGUCGCGAGACAAAGGACGCGUCGUCCCGUCACGCGCCCGGGUGACGUGUCGCGCCCCCGAUGCAUGCGUGACGCCCACUCGUUGGCCCGAGAGUGGGCGUCGUCACGGAUGACGCAAUAAUUCAUUUUUUUAAAUUCGAAUUUUAAUAAAAAAAAAUUAUUUUUC
Long non-coding RNA from Salvia splendens (bonfire salvia), 1561 nucleotides. RefSeq lists it as uncharacterized. The transcript is spliced from 5 exons. The record is from RefSeq and is a predicted model, not a curated record. Lineage: Eukaryota; Viridiplantae; Streptophyta; Magnoliopsida; Lamiales; Lamiaceae.